This 463-nucleotide ribosomal RNA is filed under the name uncultured bacterium. RNAcentral's name for it is "bacterial SSU rRNA". It matches the Rfam family "Bacterial small subunit ribosomal RNA", at positions 339 to 794 of the family's 1533-position model. The record is from RNAcentral.
UUACGGGAGGCAGCAGUGGGGAAUAUUGGACAAUGGGCGCAAGCCUGAUCCAGCCAUGCCGCGUGUGUGAAGAAGGUCUUCGGAUUGUAAAGCACUUUAAGUUGGGAGGAAGGUCAGUAACCUAAUACGUUGCUGAUUUGACGUUACCGACAGAAUAAGCACCGGCUAACUCUGUGCCAGCAGCCGCGGUAAUACAGAGGGUGCAAGCGUUAAUCGGAAUUACUGGGCGUAAAGCGCGCGUAGGUGGUUAUGUAAGUUGGAUGUGAAAUCCCCGGGCUCAACCUGGGAACUGCAUCCAAAACUGCAUAGCUAGAGUACGGUAGAGGGUGGUGGAAUUUCCUGUGUAGCGGUGAAAUGCGUAGAUAUAGGAAGGAACACCAGUGGCGAAGGCGACCACCUGGACUGAUACUGACACUGAGGUGCGAAAGCGUGGGGAGCAAACAGGAUUAGAUACCCCGGUAGU